RNAcentral lists this ribosomal RNA (253 nucleotides) under uncultured bacterium. RNAcentral's name for it is "partial 16S ribosomal RNA". It matches the Rfam family "Bacterial small subunit ribosomal RNA", at positions 524 to 776 of the family's 1533-position model. The record is from RNAcentral.
UACGUAGGGCGCAAGCGUUGUCCGGAAUUAUUGGGCGUAAAGAGCUCGUAGGCGGCUUGUCACGUCGAUUGUGAAAGCCCGAGGCUUAACCUCGGGUCUGCAGUCGAUACGGGCUAGCUAGAGUGUGGUAGGGGAGAUCGGAAUUCCUGGUGUAGCGGUGGAAUGCGCAGAUAUCAGGAGGAACACCGGUGGCGAAGGCGGGUCUCUGGGCCGUAACUGACGCUGAGGAGCGAAAGCGUGGGGAGCGAACAGG